UUAAUCUUUUUUUUACUUGGUCCUAUUUCUAAUUGUUAUUUUUUAGCUGUCUUUGCUGGUUUGAUCGUGAUCUUUAAUGGGUUAAAACGAAAAGUAAUUCGAAUUAUAAAAUAAAAAUUGGAAAUAGAACCAGAACGUAAAAAGAAACUUUAUGUUAACAAAUAUGUGCAAAGCACAUUGCAAAAAGCAAUUCUGCAACUAAUUUGUUUAUAACAAUUAUAACAACUAUAGCUAUUAAGAAAGCGUUAGAUAUUUUUAUUGAAACAUUUUUCACGUAAGAUCAAUUAGCGUAAAUAGUUUUCCUCUACAGUCAAUUUUUAGUAAUUCGUUUAUAACAAUUGGUUGCAAAAUUGAAUUUUGAUAAGUUUUUUUUUACGUCAAUAAUGUUUUUUCAUGCUUCGAAACUAUUUCCAAUUCAAAUUCUUUUUGCUAUUUUUGCUGGUCGGACCAUGGGCAGGAUCGGGUUUUAAUUAUUUAUACAUAUAUGCGGGCAGAUGCAGAUAGAAAUCUCGACGGAUACAAUGCGGAUAGAUACAGAUAGAAUUCCUGUACGCAAUUGCAGAUAGAUAUAGAUGAAAUGUAAUUACAAGCAAGAUGCAGAUAGAAACGGACAGGAUUGCUGUCCGUAAUCGUGGACAAAUGCAGAUAAAAAUCGCGACGAAUACAAUGCGGAUAGACUUGGAUAGGAUUCUGUUACGUAAUUGCAGAUAGAUACAAAUAGUAAUCGCACCGGAUAUAAUGCGGAUAGACACAGAUAGAAUUCCGGUACGUAAUUGCAAACAGAUGCGGACAGAAAUCGCGACAGACAUAAUGCAGAUAGAAACGGAUAGGAUUCGUAUACGUAAUUGCGGACAUGUGCAGACAGAAAUCGCGGCGUAUAGGAUGCGAACAGAAACAGACAGAACUUCUGUACGCAAUUACGAAUAAAUAUAGGUGAAACCCCAGUAAACAUUAUUGAGAGGAAGAGUUCUUUUUAAAGAUUUCAUUAAUUUUUCUUGAAAAUAUCAAUAAAUUAUCUUUGUACAAGAUGUCUUUCAAAAGACCUCUUUAAGAGAACUUUUUAAAGACCUCGAUCAUUAAUUUUUCUUCAAAAUGACAUCAAUAAAUUAUCUUUUUUCAAGAUGUCUUUCAAAAGAGCUCUUUAUGAUGUCUAUCUACAGAUGUCUCUAGAGUCUCAGAGGAAAGAGCUCUUUAAGAGAACUUUUUAAAGAUCUAAUUAAGUUUUCUUAAAAAUAAUGUAUCUUUUCGCAAGAUAUUUCUCACAAAACAUAACCUAGUUUAAUCACAUGUGGCGAAUAUUAUAAGAGCAUAAAAAAAAUUACAGAUAAUACGAGGGUCAUUCAAUAAGUAACGAGACAAUUACUACUGCUCAAAAACGGCUAAAUUGAUCCAUAUGAAACUUUCAGGACAUAAAGUUGGCAACCUUGCAAUGACAUCUGAUCAGCUGUUCAAUCAUAUUUUAUAAACAUAACCUCAAAUUUACUCAGUUGACGAUGGCGAGUCCGCUCGAGAAUUGCACCGUGGAAAAACAACAAUGCCGUGAUCAGAUUUUUAGUCGCGGAAGAUGAGAAAGGUAGAACAGUUUCAAAGUGGCCGUACAAAAGUUUCUGACGAGCAACGCAGUGGACGACCGAUCAAAGUUGGGACUUCCUCUCUCAAAUCUCGGAUUGACGCGUUAAUUCAAGACAAUAGGCGUAUCACUGUUGAACUGAUAAGUGAAAAAGUAAACGCGAGUGUUGGAACUGUCCAUAACAAGACCUGCAAUUCGAACGAAACGCCGUGGGCUCUUGACUGAAGGCGUGAUUUUGCUUCAUGACAACGUCCGUCCACAUACGGCACAGCUGACGAAAGAAAAACUUCAGAAACUGGGGUGGGAGAUCCUUCCACAUCCCCUACAGCCCCGACCUCGCCCUAUCAGACUUCCAUCUGUUUAGACCCCUUAAAAAUGGCCUACAAGGGAUACAUUUUUGAUGCAAUGAAGAGGUAAAAAAUCAAAUGCAAAAGUGGCUUCAAGAUCAACCUAAAGAAUUUUAUGCCAAGGGCAUUUACAAAUUAGCAGAAAGAUGGGACAAGUGUAUAAGUGUUGCUGGAGACUAUAUUGAAAAGUAACCAAAGUUUUGUACUGAUUCAAUAAACCGUUUUUGAGCAAUAAUAA
Long non-coding RNA from Solenopsis invicta (red fire ant), 2155 nucleotides. RefSeq lists it as uncharacterized. The transcript has 2 exons. The record is from RefSeq and is a predicted model, not a curated record. NCBI's taxonomy places the organism in Eukaryota, Metazoa, Arthropoda, Insecta, Hymenoptera, Formicidae.